This 45-nucleotide non-coding RNA is filed under the name Schistosoma curassoni. Lineage: Eukaryota; Metazoa; Platyhelminthes; Trematoda; Strigeidida; Schistosomatidae. The record is from RNAcentral.
AUGCAGCCGACGAGUUCCAAAUAGGACAAAACGCGCGUUUUGGAU